RNAcentral lists this ribosomal RNA (403 nucleotides) under uncultured bacterium. RNAcentral's name for it is "bacterial SSU rRNA". It matches the Rfam family "Bacterial small subunit ribosomal RNA", at positions 60 to 446 of the family's 1533-position model. The record is from RNAcentral.
AGUCGAGCGAGGUUACUGUUUUGGAUCCCUUCGGGGUGAAGAAGCUUUAACCUAUCGGCGGACGGGUGAGUAACGCGUGGGUAACCUACCCCAAAGUCCGGGAUAACAGCGGGAAACCGCUGCUAAUACCGGAUGCCUUUACCUUGGGGCAUCUUGAGGUAAAGAAAGGUAACGCUUUGGGAUGGGCCCGCGUCCCAUUAGCUAGUUGGUGAGGUAACGGCUCACCAGGGCGACGAUGGGUAGCCGGCCUGAGAGGGUGGACGGCCACACUGGGACUGAGACACGGCCCAGACUCCUACGGGAGGCAGCAGUAGGGAAUAUUGCGCAAUGGACGGAAGUCUGACGCAGCGACGCCGCGUGAGCGAUGAAGGUCUUCGGACCGUAAAGCUCUGUCCUUGGGGAA